Molecule: ribosomal RNA, 301 nt
Filed under: uncultured bacterium
Lineage: Bacteria
Description: partial 16S ribosomal RNA
Rfam family: Bacterial small subunit ribosomal RNA
Source: RNAcentral
CAGCAGCCGCGGGAAUACAGAGGGUGCGAGCGUUAAUCGGAUUUACUGGGCGUAAAGCGUGUGUAGGUUGUUGUUCAAGUCAGUUGUGAAAUCCCUGGGCUCAACCUGGGAACUGCUUCUGAGACUGAACGACUAGAGUACGGUAGAGGGUGGUGGAAUUUCCGGUGUAGCUGUGAAAUGCGUAGAUAUAGGAAGGAACACCAGUGGCGAAGGCGACCACCUGGACUCAUACUGACACUGAGGUGCGAAAGCGUGGGGAGCAAACAGGAUUAGAGACCCCCGUAGUCCCUGUCUCUUAUAC